ACUGAGAUCUGUGUGGGAAAGGUGGUGCUAGCUGCUGGCACAAGUGGAACCUUGGCAUCAGCUGCUGGAACAGUUGAGGGUCUUUAACUCCUUUGUUCCAAACUGAAAAAUUCCAAAGGCAGUGCCCUACAUGGGUAACUCUGGUCAUAAGUACCACAGACUGAAGCCUGGUCAGUGUCUGUGUCAGGAUUCAGCAGUCCCAGGACCACAGGAAGGAAGGUUUUUCUUUCCAAACAAGAGAACCUCUUCAAGAAUUCUUCAAAAGAGCAGCAGGACACUAUGAGUUAGU
This is a long non-coding RNA of Passer domesticus (house sparrow), 289 nucleotides long. RefSeq lists it as uncharacterized. The transcript is spliced from 3 exons. The record is from RefSeq and is a predicted model, not a curated record. Lineage: Eukaryota; Metazoa; Chordata; Aves; Passeriformes; Passeridae.